Molecule: long non-coding RNA, 1030 nt
Organism: Priapulus caudatus
Lineage: Eukaryota; Metazoa; Priapulida; Priapulimorpha; Priapulimorphida; Priapulidae
Exons: 2
Source: RefSeq, a predicted model, not a curated record
UUUAAAGAUGUAACAAUAACAAGCAUGUUGACCAAAGAUAAAGAUUCACAACAAGUGUUGGGAUUAUCACAAACAUUCACUGACAAGUAGUUAUGAUUCAGUACAACGAAGCAAGUCAAGCUAAUCAAGCGGGUAUCAAGGGAUAAAGGAAAAAGCACUCACUUUAAAGUUUGAUAGAAAUGUGGCAAGCAAUUCAGACAAGGGUGCCCCAAGGGUCUAAAGAUAGUAAUGUCGUCUUCCCCUGCAAGAGUUAAUGGCAGAGCAAAGAAUGUACAUAUGACAAAGACGGGCAGAGAAAGGUGUUAGACAAGCACAGUUGUCUUGUUAAAGGCAUGUACACUACCUAUCUAAAAUGGAUACUUGCCUUGUGAUGCUAUGGUCUGACAUGUGAGUCAAGAACAAGGCAUGGUUGAUGUAAUCAAGGUUUUGUUCAAAAUCACAAUCUUGAAAAACAAGAAUCUUAUGUAUGUCAUGGCAAGCAAAGUAUGCAAUCAAGUCUAACAGCAUGCAAGGUUUCAUUUCUGGUCAAAGUGGUCACAAAGUCUAGGGGAAUUCAAGCAAGUUGGAAUGAUUCAGAUCAAGUAGUCAAGUCACAAAACUGUCAGGUCAAGUCGCGCAAGUUUAAUGCGUCAUUGCUAUUUCGUAACUACUUUGCUUGGAAGUACUGGAUCAAGUUCAAUCAAGCUGCAAGUAUGGGGAAUCGAUCUAGGGCAGAUUUAGUAUAAUUUGUGGUUUUAAAGUAAUAUUUCGCAAAUAUCAAAAAUGGUAUUCAUAAUCCACUAGAAACCAGCAAACCUAAUAUAAUGUGCUAUACUAGGGUAGCUCGAUUAAUAGACGAGGUGUGAUGCUGUGGUUUGUCUGCUAAACGAAACACUGUUAAAUGAUGUCAUUAUAAUAUGCUGCCUACGUCAUGCUAAGGUGGAGGGGGUGUCGAAGGGAUGUACACAAGCGUUGUCAGCGCAUAAGCCUUGUUUAGUAUGGGGUAGGGGAUGGUAAACUACAAAGGUGAUGGUGCAAAUUAUCAUUAGUU